Molecule: transfer RNA, 74 nt
Filed under: Legionella sp.
Lineage: Bacteria; Pseudomonadati; Pseudomonadota; Gammaproteobacteria; Legionellales; Legionellaceae
Description: tRNA-Gly
Rfam family: tRNA
About the family: Transfer RNA (tRNA) molecules are approximately 80 nucleotides in length. Their secondary structure includes four short double-helical elements and three loops (D, anti-codon, and T loops). Further hydrogen bonds mediate the characteristic L-shaped molecular structure. tRNAs have two regions of fundamental functional importance: the anti-codon, which is responsible for specific mRNA codon recognition, and the 3' end, to which the tRNAs corresponding amino acid is attached (by aminoacyl-tRNA synthetases). tRNAs cope with the degeneracy of the genetic code in two manners: having more than one tRNA (with a specific anti-codon) for a particular amino acid; and 'wobble' base-pairing, i.e. permitting non-standard base-pairing at the 3rd anti-codon position.
Source: RNAcentral
GCGGGUAUGGUAUAGAGGCUGUGCCUCAGUUUUCCAAACUGAAGAGGACGGUUCGACUCCGUUUACCCGCUCCA